GGCCCCUAAUCGGGGUUGCGGACAGUGUCUGGUGGGUAGUUUGACUGGGGCGGUCUCCUCCCAAAGAGUAACGGAGGAGCACGAAGGUUAGCUAAUCCUGGUCGGACAUCAGGAGGUUAGUGCAAUGGUAUAAGCUAGCUUGACUGCGAGCGUGACGGCGCGAGCAGGUGCGAAAGCAGGUCAUAGUGAUCCGGUGGUUCUGAAUGGAAGGGCCAUCGCUCAACGGAUAAAAGGUACUCCGGGGAUAACAGGCUGAU
Molecule: ribosomal RNA, 257 nt
Filed under: Klebsiella variicola
Lineage: Bacteria; Pseudomonadati; Pseudomonadota; Gammaproteobacteria; Enterobacterales; Enterobacteriaceae
Description: partial 23S ribosomal RNA
Rfam family: Bacterial large subunit ribosomal RNA
Source: RNAcentral